GAUGAACGCUGGCGGCGUGCUUAACACAUGCAAGUCGAACGGAAAGGCUCCUGCUUGCAGGGGUACUCGAGUGGCGAACGGGUGAGUAACACGUGGGUGAUCUGCCCUGCACUUCGGGAUAAGCCUGGGAAACUGGGUCUAAUACCGGAUAGGACGAUGGUUUGGAUGCCAUUGUGGAAAGUUUUUCGGUGUGGGAUGAGCUCGCGGCCUAUCAGCUUGUUGGUGGGGUAAUGGCCUACCAAGGCGUCGACGGGUAGCCGGCCUGAGAGGGUGUACGGCCACAUUGGGACUGCGAUACGGCCCAGACUCCUACGGGAGGCAGCAGUGGGGAAUAUUGCACAAUGGGCGCGAGCCUGAUGCAGCGACGCCGCGUGGGGGAUGACGGCCUUCGGGUUGUAAACUCCUUUCGCUAGGGACGAAGCGCAAGUGACGGUACCUGGAGAAGAAGCACCGGCUAACUACGUG
RNAcentral lists this ribosomal RNA (465 nucleotides) under uncultured bacterium. RNAcentral describes it as "partial 16S ribosomal RNA". It matches the Rfam family "Bacterial small subunit ribosomal RNA", at positions 28 to 507 of the family's 1533-position model. The record is from RNAcentral.